CCUACGGUCAGCAGCAGUGGGGAAUAUUGGACAAUGGGCGAAAGCCUGAUCCAGCCAUGCCGCGUGUGUGAAGAAGGCCUUCGGGUUGUAAAGCACUUUCAGUGGGGAAGAAAGCCUUGGGGCUAAUACCCUCGAGGAAGGACAUCACCCACAGAAGAAGCACCGGCUAACUCCGUGCCAGCAGCCGCGGUAAUACGGAGGGUGCGAGCGUUAAUCGGAAUUACUGGGCGUAAAGCGCGCGUAGGCGGUCUGAUAAGCCGGUUGUGAAAGCCCCGGGCUCAACCUGGGAACGGCAUCCGGAACUGUCAGGCUAGAGUGCAGGAGAGGAAGGUAGAAUUCCCGGUGUAGCGGUGAAAUGCGUAGAGAUCGGGAGGAAUACCAGUGGCGAAGGCGGCCUUCUGGACUGACACUGACGCUGAGGUGCGAAAGCGUGGGUAGCAAACAGGAUUAGAUACCCCAGUAGUC
This 465-nucleotide ribosomal RNA is filed under the name Vreelandella stevensii. RNAcentral's name for it is "partial 16S ribosomal RNA". It matches the Rfam family "Bacterial small subunit ribosomal RNA", at positions 338 to 795 of the family's 1533-position model. The record is from RNAcentral. Lineage: Bacteria; Pseudomonadati; Pseudomonadota; Gammaproteobacteria; Oceanospirillales; Halomonadaceae.